AAACCGCCCCUAAAUUUUGCAAUUGUAGUAGUUUUGGCCUCCCAAGCCAAAAAAAAAAUAAAAAAAAAACAUGUGGCACCUCACUUAGGGUGCCAUGUCAGCGUAGACCGAGUCAAAAUUAGCUUUGGGGGCAAAAAUUGCCACAAGUGCAAAACUUAGCGGGCGGUUU
This 169-nucleotide microRNA precursor is filed under the name Medicago truncatula (barrel medic). RNAcentral's name for it is "MIR2619 microRNA precursor family". It matches the Rfam family "MIR2619 microRNA precursor family". Lineage: Eukaryota; Viridiplantae; Streptophyta; Magnoliopsida; Fabales; Fabaceae. The record is from Rfam by way of RNAcentral.